RNAcentral lists this ribosomal RNA (611 nucleotides) under uncultured eukaryote. RNAcentral describes it as "partial 18S ribosomal RNA". It matches the Rfam family "Eukaryotic small subunit ribosomal RNA", at positions 25 to 549 of the family's 1831-position model. The record is from RNAcentral.
UAGCAUAUGCUUGUCUCAAAGAUUAAGCCAUGCAAGUGUAAGUUUAAACCAAGUUUAAACCGGUGAAACUGCAGAUGGCUCAUUAAAUCAGUCAUCAUUUAUUUGAUAGUCAUGUCCAUUUGAAAAAAUAAUGGUCUAAUUGGAUAACUGUAGUAAUUCUAGAGCUAAUACAUGCUUUUAAGUCUUAACUUUUAUAUUUAUUCUUCGGAAUGAAGAUAAAGGAAGAGAUGUAUUUAUUAGAUUUUUUUAUAAAAAAGAGAACCAAAACAAUCAACUUUUUUGGUGAUUCAUAAUAACUGUUCGGAUCGCAAAAACAUUUUUCUUUUCUUCGGAAGAGGAGAAAGCGACAAAUCAUUCAAAUUUCUGCCCUAUCAGCUGUGGAUUGUAGUGUAGUGGACUACAAUGGCGAUAACGAGUAACGGAGAAUUCGGGGUUUGAUUCCGGAGAGGGAGCCUGAGAGAUGGCUACCACUUCCAAGGAAGGCAGCAGGCGCGCAAAUUACCCAAUCCUGAUACAGGGAGGUAGUGACAAGAAAUAACAAUAGCGGGACUUUUUUAAUGGUUCUGCUAAUUGGAAUGAGUACAAUUUAAAUCCUUUAACAAGGAACAACU